CGAACGAGUAGACAGGAGCUUGCUCCUGGGUACUAGUGGCAGACGGGUGAGUAACGCGUGGGUAACCUACCUUGAAGCGGGGGAUACCAUUUCGAAAGGAAUGUUAAUACCGCAUAAUAUCAUUAGCCCCUUGGUGCUUUUAAUCAAAGUUGGGGACCGGGGAAACCCGGCCUGAUACUUUAAGAGGGACUCGCGUCGGAUUAGCUAGUUGGUGGGGUAACGGCUCACCAAGGCAACGAUCCGUAGCCGGCCUGAGAGGGUGAUC
This 265-nucleotide ribosomal RNA is filed under the name uncultured bacterium. RNAcentral's name for it is "partial 16S ribosomal RNA". It matches the Rfam family "Bacterial small subunit ribosomal RNA", at positions 63 to 305 of the family's 1533-position model. The record is from RNAcentral.